This 460-nucleotide ribosomal RNA is filed under the name uncultured bacterium. RNAcentral's name for it is "partial 16S ribosomal RNA". It matches the Rfam family "Bacterial small subunit ribosomal RNA", at positions 338 to 795 of the family's 1533-position model. The record is from RNAcentral.
CCUACGGGGGGCAGCAGUGAGGAAUAUUGGUCAAUGGACGAGAGUCUGAACCAGCCACGUAGCGUGAAGGAUGACUGCCCUAUGGGUGGUAAACUUCUUUUAUAUGGGAAUAAAACGUUCCUCGUGGGGGAUUUUGUAUGUACCAUAUGAAUAAGGGUCGGCUAACUCCGUGCCAGCAGCCGCGGUAAUACGGAGGAUCCGAGCGUUAUCCGGAUUUAUUGGGUUUAAAGGGAGCGUAGGUGGAUUGUUAAGUCAGUUGUGAAAGUUUGCGGCUCAACCGGAAAAUUGCAGUUGAAACUGGCAGUCUUGAGUACAGUAGAGGUGGGCGGAAGUCGUGGUGUAGCGGUGAAAUGCUUAGAUAUCACGAAGAACUCCGAUUGCGAAGGCAGUUCACUGGACUGCAACUGACACUGAGGCUCGAAAGUGUGGGUAUCAAACAGGAUUAGAUACCCGGGUAGUC